GAGGCGCGCGCGCGUCGCGGCGGACAGAUGCGCGGCGCGUCGCCGUCCGUUCACCUGCGGCUGUUCUGUCUGUUGCGUGUCGUGUCGCGCGCUUAGAGACGUCGUUAAACUUUCAGUCAUCAUCGCUUCAAUUGCGGGUCUCGCGCCUCUUCUUUUUGAUACGCGCCCGAGCCCUUCGCCUUUUUUUAUUUAUCUUUUGUAGUAUAAUUUUUUUUUUUGGGGGGGAAGGCAAGUGCGCGCGUGCGUGAGCCAGCCUGCGUGUGUGGGUGUGUGUGUGAGAGUGUGGGAGUGUGUGUGUAUGCGUGAGAGAGAGGGAUAGAGAGAGAGGGAGAGAGAUGUGCAGGUGCAGGUGGUGUUGGUGGUGGUGCUGAUGAUGAUGGUAGUGCUGAUGAUAAUGAUGAGAGAUCCUGUUGAACGGAGACGCCGCGCGCACAGGCAGCAGCAGCAUCAGCAUCAGCAGCAUCAUCCCUAUCAUCCCUCGAAGGCGCGCACGAGCCCAGUCUGAAGGGUGGUGAGAUGCUCUGCGGGGGGCGCGGCUGCUGUUGCUUUCCCAGGGAUUUCGGGCGCGAGGGCUCCGUCACGAGCCCCCCCAUCACCCCAACAUCUUCCGGGAACUGGGCUGGAGGUGGAAGCUGCUGAGGAGGAGCCGUCCUCAUCCUUCUUUGGCGCGCGCUUCAUCUGUUGCUGGCGUCUAAAGAACCCAGUGAUUCAUUCACAGCCACUGGAGGGGCAGAGGAGAGCGCGCGGCAACCACCCCCCCACCCCCAACACAGCAACCCAACCCAACGCGCACAACACAUGCACACACCUCCCUCAGCGGAGAAAGGAUGAUAAUGAUGAUGAUGGCAACCACAGAUCUCUAACCGGGGGACUGGUCUGGACGUCUCGCCCUCCCUCGUGCACGUGCGCAAUCUCAGGUGACUGUGAGAGGGACAUUGGCUGGAGCAGAAGUGGAGUAAAGGAGGGGUUCAGACAUUUUCUUGCUCUUUUUGAUCUUAUGGAGGGAGUGCGUGCGUGCGCGCGUAUUCGGACACAUACCGACCCCCUCGUGGACUUACCACACCGUUUCCAAGACUUUGAACAUGCAAGAGCGCGCGCGCCACUGUAAAGUCUGCGCUUUGUGACUUUUUUUUAAAAAAAGAGAGCCCACCACAACAAACAGCGCGCGCGCGUUCCUGUGGAUCCCUUAAUGCGCUCGGGAACCUCGCAGCGGCCAACUCUCCAAAGACUGCGCUGAUCCACGAUCA
This 1247-nucleotide long non-coding RNA is filed under the name Astyanax mexicanus (Mexican tetra). Its description in RNAcentral is "lncRNA (ENSAMXG00005018323.1)". The record is from RNAcentral. Lineage: Eukaryota; Metazoa; Chordata; Actinopteri; Characiformes; Acestrorhamphidae.